This is a long non-coding RNA of Peromyscus eremicus (cactus mouse), 553 nucleotides long. RefSeq lists it as uncharacterized. The record is from RefSeq and is a predicted model, not a curated record. The transcript is spliced from 2 exons. NCBI's taxonomy places the organism in Eukaryota, Metazoa, Chordata, Mammalia, Rodentia, Cricetidae.
GUGCCCUUGAGAACAGCUGUACCCUAUGGUGUGCUAUGUAGGAUUUGCAUACCCAUUGUCACAUCACAGAUACUUAGUCAAGACAAGUGUCAAAACACUGAUAGUGCAUGAUAGGAAUCGGAACUCCGCUUAGAGCUGGGGAAGGUGGCAUGAACCCAUGGUCCUGGUUUUGGCGGACUGGGGCAGGAGAUUGUUUGGGCCCAGGAAUCUAAAGCUAGCCUGGGAAGCACAGCAAGACCUCUAUCAAAACCAAACAAAAAGACAAAUAGAAAAGGAAAAGGGAGUCCAUGUAGACAGCGAGAAAGCCAAGGAAAAUUCCUCAAGGAAGAAGAAAUAGAAGAUCCCUACAUAUUAGGUCAAAAAGAAUGUGAAUCAAGUCUUGCAGUAGAGGCCAGACUGGUCUGGACUUCGUGAUCCACCUACCUUAGCUGGCUGAGUAGCUGGGAUUACCGUCAUGUACCACCAACUCACCAGGCCUGCCAUAUUUUAUAAUCACAGCAUUGAGAAGCUGGACCUCAAGACGCCCUCGCCUUUUUAUAAAUUAAUCUACUUA